This 486-nucleotide ribosomal RNA is filed under the name uncultured bacterium. RNAcentral describes it as "partial 16S ribosomal RNA". It matches the Rfam family "Bacterial small subunit ribosomal RNA", at positions 355 to 829 of the family's 1533-position model. The record is from RNAcentral.
UGGGGAAUUUUGGACAAUGGGCGCAAGCCUGAUCCAGCCAUGCCGCGUGCGGGAAGAAGGCCUUCGGGUUGUAAACCGCUUUUGUCAGGGAAGAAAUCUUCUGAGUUAAUACCUCGGGAGGAUGACGGUACCUGAAGAAUAAGCACCGGCUAACUACGUGCCAGCAGCCGCGGUAAUACGUAGGGUGCAAAGCGUUAAUCGGAAUUACUGGGCGUAAAGCGUGCGCAGGCGGUUUUGUAAGACAGAGGUGAAAUCCCCGGGCUCAACCUGGGAACUGCCUUUGUGACUGCAAGGCUUGAGUGCGGCAGAGGGGGGAUGGAAUUCCGCGUGUAGCGUGAAAUGCGUAGAUAUGCGGAGGAAACACCGAUGGCGAAGGCAAUCCCCUGGGCCUGCACUGACGCUCAUGCACGAAGGCGUGGGGAGCAAACAGGAUUAGAUAGCCCUGGUAGUCCACGCCCUAAAACGAUGUCAACUGGUUGUUGGGAA